AAUUUUAUAUUAAAAUUAUUUUAAAAAAAAGUCCCCCCGCCGCAUCCCUGCAGCUCCCUAGGCUGCCAUGGGCAUUCGAGCCCUCUCAGCCCCACCAUUAACGCCCCCCACCCCCACCCCGCAGCCCCAAGGCUGCCAUGGUCAUUAGAGCCCCCAGCAGCACUACCAUUAACGCCCCCCUCUCCCGCGCGUUUCCCACCAGAAGCCGCCCCCCACCCCUGCAGCCUCCAACGCUGCCAUGGCCAUCAACAAUAGAGCGCCCCACCAGCACCACUGCAGUGCCCCCUCCCCCUUAUUUUUAAAUUGAGGUCUAUUUAUUCAUGGCUAACAUAUGAAGACCAAAUAGCUAAGGCUAAUUACGACUUUAUUUUUACUGAAUUUGGAGUACGUACUUCAGUUGGCAGAUCAAAUGUCCUCGUCUCUCUAUAUGAAAAAAGUUUAGAAUGAUAAAAAGAAAUUUAUUAAAGAAAAUGCAGGCGCAAUUUUUAUCGGCCGA
Long non-coding RNA from Capsicum annuum, 496 nucleotides. RefSeq lists it as uncharacterized. NCBI's taxonomy places the organism in Eukaryota, Viridiplantae, Streptophyta, Magnoliopsida, Solanales, Solanaceae. The record is from RefSeq and is a predicted model, not a curated record. The transcript is spliced from 2 exons.